Molecule: long non-coding RNA, 852 nt
Organism: Scylla paramamosain (green mud crab)
Lineage: Eukaryota; Metazoa; Arthropoda; Malacostraca; Decapoda; Portunidae
Exons: 5
Source: RefSeq, a predicted model, not a curated record
CGCAGAGACUGUCCCUUUAAACCUUCGUCCCUUUAAACCGUACCCAAAUAAACGCUUUCGAUUCGCGUAGGCAGACCAGGCUAGCUCUCUCUGACCGGGCCAUGUGACGUAUUUUUAGUCAUAUGGUCCUAGUGAGAGUAACCCGCCGGCUAGGGAGUCUAGGAGUGUUAACUGGUUAUUUAACAGAGUAGAAGAUGAGAGAGAGACUGGGAUGUGUGAUGGAUGAGUGACAGGGAGAAGAAGGGUGUAAUCUGUUUGACUGUUGCCACGGUGACGGUGGUGGUGGGCAUGAUACAGAUGCGGGAGGUGGAGUUUGUGCCCGAUAGAGACAUGCAGCUGGACAAAUUGUGUUGGUCAUUGGUCAGACUGGAGUUUACAUGUGUACCUCCUUCACCAUCAUUGGUGGACACUUCACCAUGAGUGAUGCUUGAGCUGUCACGGUGCUGCUGCUGCUGUCUGCCAUCAUCACCCUGACACAGACCACCCUGCAGACCACCUUCAUCCUGGGUGCCACACGUCACUGCUGCUACAACUCAGAGCAACUGGAGCGCAAGCCAGGAAGGGAGAUGUGUUGCCACGGUGACGGUGGUGGUGGGCAUGACACAGAUGCGGGAGGUGGAGGUUGUGCCCGAUGGAGACAUGCAGCUGGGACAAUUGUGUUGGUCAUUGGUCAGACUGGAGUUUACAUGUGUACCUCCUUCACCAUCAUUGGUGGACACUUCACCUUGAGUGAUGCUUGAGCUGUCAUGGUGCUGCUGCUGUUGUCUGCCAUCAUCCCCCUGACACAGACCACCCUGCAGACCACCUUCAUCCUGGGUGCCACACGUCACUGCUGCUACAACUCAGAGCAAC